Molecule: unclassified non-coding RNA, 287 nt
Filed under: Hevea brasiliensis (rubber tree)
Lineage: Eukaryota; Viridiplantae; Streptophyta; Magnoliopsida; Malpighiales; Euphorbiaceae
Source: RNAcentral
GUUUCCCUUUAAACUCCAGUCAACCAUAUUAAGUCAUUAGAAGAGAGGCGGCCAUCUCUAUAUGAUAGCUAUCAGGGAAGGCUAAAAAACUACAUCAUGCCACUGAAAUAACUAAUAAUCAACACAAAAUUAGAAAAUACAUGCACCACCGUUGAGUAUAGAGCCUACACGCUAUAUGCUUUGAAAUUAGAUACAGAUAUAACUAGUUCUGCAUUCUGGUGAACGACAAGUCCAAGGGUGCCAAAAAAAGAGACAGAGCAUACCAGCAUCGACGUUCUCCAUUACAU